GAGGGUAUAGCUCAGAAGUAGAGUGUAUGCUUAGCAUGCACAAGGUCCUGGGCUCAAUCCCCAGUCCCUCCA
This 72-nucleotide transfer RNA is filed under the name Camelus bactrianus (Bactrian camel). It matches the Rfam family "tRNA". From Rfam's summary of the family: Transfer RNA (tRNA) molecules are approximately 80 nucleotides in length. Their secondary structure includes four short double-helical elements and three loops (D, anti-codon, and T loops). Lineage: Eukaryota; Metazoa; Chordata; Mammalia; Artiodactyla; Camelidae. RNAcentral also lists the same sequence under 2 other names. The record is from Rfam by way of RNAcentral.